RNAcentral lists this ribosomal RNA (736 nucleotides) under uncultured Halomonas sp. RNAcentral describes it as "bacterial SSU rRNA". It matches the Rfam family "Bacterial small subunit ribosomal RNA", at positions 64 to 845 of the family's 1533-position model. The record is from RNAcentral. Lineage: Bacteria; Pseudomonadati; Pseudomonadota; Gammaproteobacteria; Oceanospirillales; Halomonadaceae.
GAACGGUCUCUUCGGAGGCAGUGGCAGACGGGUGAGUAACGCGUGGGAACAUACCUUUCGGUACGGAACAACAGUUGGAAACGACUGCUAAUACCGUAUACGCCCUGAGGGGGAAAGAUUUAUCGCCGAGAGAUUGGCCCGCGUUGGAUUAGCUAGUUGGUGGGGUAAUGGCCUACCAAGGCGACGAUCCAUAGCUGGUCUGAGAGGAUGAUCAGCCACACUGGGACUGAGACACGGCCCAGACUCCUACGGGAGGCAGCAGUGGGGAAUAUUGGACAAUGGGCGCAAGCCUGAUCCAGCCAUGCCGCGUGAGUGAUGAAGGCCUUAGGGUUGUAAAGCUCUUUCGCCGGUGAAGAUAAUGACGGUAACCGGUAAAGAAGCCCCGGCUAACUUCGUGCCAGCAGCCGCGGUAAUACGAAGGGGGGCUAGCGUUGUUCGGAAUUACUGGGCGUAAAGCGCACGUAGGCUGACUUUUAAGUCAGGGGUGAAAUCCCGGGGCUCAACCUCGGAACUGCCUUUGAUACUGGAAGUCUUGAGUCCGAGAGAGGUGAGUGGAACUCCGAGUGUAGAGGUGAAAUUCGUAGAUAUUCGGAAGAACACCAGUGGGCGAAGGCGGCUCACUGGCUCGGUACUGACGCUGAGGUGCGAAAGCGUGAGGAGCAAACAGGAUUAGAUACCCUGGUAGUCCACGCCGUAAACGAUGGAAGCUAGCUGUCAGGUAGCAUGCUAUUUGGUG